CAAUGGGUCUCAGAAUGUUGU
RNAcentral lists this microRNA (21 nucleotides) under Sarcophilus harrisii (Tasmanian devil). RNAcentral's name for it is "Sha-Mir-12475-P26_3p* (star (passenger))". The record is from RNAcentral. Lineage: Eukaryota; Metazoa; Chordata; Mammalia; Dasyuromorphia; Dasyuridae.